RNAcentral lists this ribosomal RNA (134 nucleotides) under uncultured eukaryote. RNAcentral's name for it is "partial small subunit ribosomal RNA". It matches the Rfam family "Eukaryotic small subunit ribosomal RNA", at positions 1651 to 1782 of the family's 1831-position model. The record is from RNAcentral.
CCCUGCCAUUUGUACACACCGCCCGUCGCUACUACCGAUUGAAUGGUUUAGUGAGUUCCACGGAUUGGUGGCUCCGGUUGGGCAACCUUCCGGAGUUGCCGAGAAGUGGAUCAAACUUGAUCAUUUAGAGGAAG